This 65-nucleotide transfer RNA is filed under the name Orancistrocerus aterrimus. RNAcentral's name for it is "tRNA-Gln". Lineage: Eukaryota; Metazoa; Arthropoda; Insecta; Hymenoptera; Vespidae. The record is from RNAcentral.
UAUAUUUUGGUGUAAGGCAUAAAAAUUUUUGGAAUUUUUGGGAGUAAUCAUUUUACUAAAUAUAA